AACGAACGCUGGCGGCAGGCCUAACACAUGCAAGUCGAACGCCGUAGCAAUACGGAGUGGCAGACGGGUGAGUAACACGUGGGAACGUACCCUUCGGUUCGGAAUAACUCAGGGAAACUUGAGCUAAUACCGGAUACGUCCGAGAGGAGAAAGAUUUAUCGCCGAGGAUCGGCCCGCGUCUGAUUAGCUUGUUGGUGAGGUAACGGCUCACCAAGGCGACGAUCAGUAGCUGGCUGAGAGGAUGAUCAGCCACCAUUGGGACGUGAGACACGGCCCAAACUCCUACGGGAGGCAGCAGUGGGGAAUAUUGGACAAUGGGCGCAAGCCUGAUCCAGCCAUGCCGCGUGAGUGAUGAAGGCCCGUA
Molecule: ribosomal RNA, 364 nt
Filed under: uncultured bacterium
Lineage: Bacteria
Description: bacterial SSU rRNA
Rfam family: Bacterial small subunit ribosomal RNA
Source: RNAcentral